This 550-nucleotide ribosomal RNA is filed under the name uncultured bacterium. RNAcentral describes it as "bacterial SSU rRNA". It matches the Rfam family "Bacterial small subunit ribosomal RNA", at positions 777 to 1318 of the family's 1533-position model. The record is from RNAcentral.
AAUAGAUACCCUGGUAGUCCACGCCGUAAACGAUGAGUGCUAAGUGUUAGGGGGUUUCCGCCCCUUAGUGCUGCAGCUAACGCAUUAAGCACUCCGCCUGGGGAGGUACGGUCGCAAGAACUGAAACUCAAAGGAAUUGACGGGGGCCCGCACAAGCGGUGGAGCAUGUGGUUUAAUUCGAAGCAACGCGAAGAACCUUACCAGGUCUUGACAUCCCACUGACCGCUAUGGAGACAUAGCUUUCCCUUCGGGGACAGUGGUGACAGGUGGUGCAUGGUUGUCGUCAGCUCGUGUCGUGAGAUGUUGGGUUAAGUCCCGCAACGAGCGCAACCCUUGAUCUUAGUUGCCAUCAUUUAGUUGGGCACUCUAAGGUGACUGCCGGUGACAAACCGGAGGAAGGUGGGGGAUGACGUCAAAUCAUCAUGCCCCUUAUGACCUGGGCUACACACGUGCUACAAUGGACGGUACAAAACGGUUGCCAACCCGCGAGGGGGGAGCUAAUCCGGAUAAAAACCGUUCUCAGUUCGGAUUGUAGGCUGCAACUCGCCUA